This is a signal recognition particle RNA of 315 nucleotides. It matches the Rfam family "Archaeal signal recognition particle RNA".
GGCAGGGCUAGGCCGGGUGUUUAGGCCGCACCUCUUUCCGUGAAACGGUCUUUAGCGGAGCCGAAUGCCAAGGGCGGCGCAGGCCAGCUUAUCUGGUCCUGUUCGUCAACUGAGAAGUCCUGUCCUGCAGGGCUGUGCCUGCAGUGAACCGGGUCAGGCACGGAAAGCGUGACGGCUUAAUCCGAAAGAAGCAAGCCGUUGUGCCCGAAAGUGAGCAGCCCUAAGCUGUUGACACACUGCUUGCGGGUCAGCAGGAUGGAGGAGACGUCCGGGGCAGCCAGGUUUUCUGGCGUGUGCCCACCGAGGUGCCCUGCC